Molecule: long non-coding RNA, 224 nt
Filed under: Carica papaya (papaya)
Lineage: Eukaryota; Viridiplantae; Streptophyta; Magnoliopsida; Brassicales; Caricaceae
Description: long non-coding RNA (CPAP_LNC000635)
Source: RNAcentral
AAAGCCCACAUAAAAUGAGAAUGUUCAUCCAGAAAAAAGAACAUAAUAUCAACAACCAAAGAAUAAAGAGUUGGGGAGGUCCAAACAUCAAAACAAAUGAUGGAAAUAAUUCAUAAACAUGAAUUUAAUACUCGAGAAAACAUAGCCUAUUGUUUUUCCCUAUUAAACAAGAGUCAUAAUGAAAGAAAUGACUUUAGACAUAAGUUUAUUUUCAAAAAAAAAAA